Homarus americanus (American lobster) is the source of this 1172-nucleotide long non-coding RNA. RefSeq lists it as uncharacterized. The record is from RefSeq and is a predicted model, not a curated record. The transcript has 3 exons. Lineage: Eukaryota; Metazoa; Arthropoda; Malacostraca; Decapoda; Nephropidae.
AUCGAGGACCUGAGGGGCCCGCUAGCCAUCCUCUCCACGGGCUUCCUUCUGGCAGUGCUCUUUGUUAUACUCGAGUGCUUUGGAAAAAACAGCUGGAAGGAAAAAGUUUUCGGAGGAAAAAGUGUAUCCCAGACUAAAAGAAAAGAGAAGAUGAUUAAGUUGGAGCUAGAGUUGAGGACGAAGGGUUUACCUAGUGUGGAGGUGAAGAGUAUGUCAGGAGGGGACGACAACACAACCGAAGACUGAUGGAUGUAGUACCCCUCAGCUCCACGAUGAAGCAAGCAGCUGGAUUUACCAUGCAGAAACUUCAUGUUAUGCUAGAGAGAGAACAGAGAGACCUUAUCAACAGUCUGCAGCUCGAGGAAAUGAAGAAGCACGGACUGAUAAAUUCUGCAAGAACUAAAACUCACCCGUGAAAGUAUAAGCUCUGAUGUACAGUAUAUGAUGCUUAAGGGCUGUACCAGGCCACCGGGACAGCAAACAUUAAGACCAGCCAGUUGUUUACUAUACUGGCAGCUGUACAAGUUGAGGGCCGCAGAUAUCAUGGCUAACCAAGUGUAUGAAAUACUAAGAGGCUGUGUAAAGAAAAAAUAUGCCAGACAUUGAGUUAACCAGUUGUGUACAAUAUUGGAAGCUAGACAAAAGCGCCAGGCUUCUGGUAGACAUUACUAAAACCAGUUGAUUGAGAAAAAUUCAGUGGCUGUCAGACUGCUGGUGGUGGUACACUGACGAGUAUGUCGGCCUGAACAAUAAUCGACUCCUCAAAUACCGUGGUCAGUGAAGCUGUUUAGAGAGGUAGGAACACCAGGACAAAUCUCGGCAAAAGAGACGAAUCUUGCUAGUAUUAUUUCGUAGUGUUCUGUAAAAUGACCGGUCAACUUGCCCCCAGUCCUGAAGUAUCAAGCCUAACGUUCAGUAAGGAUUGGGACAGUCGUAAUGAGUGUGAUAAUGGCUUGAUUGAGAUAUACUUGGACUGGGACCUGUUGUAAUGCUGGGAUAAACUAACGUAUGUAGUUAAAUAUACCUAAGUACUGUAGUCUGUAGUUGUAACACCACAUUCUACAAAGGUGUGUUUAUUAAAAAGUAGUUACAGCAAUGUAGUAAUAGAUUUUUUACUAAUAUCAAACCUCGAGGUGCAGUUGAAAGCUUUAAUGAACCCAUAUGGAUAUAGA